Molecule: long non-coding RNA, 284 nt
Organism: Phacochoerus africanus (Common warthog)
Lineage: Eukaryota; Metazoa; Chordata; Mammalia; Artiodactyla; Suidae
Exons: 3
Source: RefSeq, a predicted model, not a curated record
UGAAGAUUUACGGAGCAAUUUCUCUCCAAACGAUUUCCUCCCUCCCACUGUUAGAGAGGGCUCCAGGAAUGGCCAGGGCAGUGCCUGUAUUUUGUUCUACCAGGCUGUGAUCUGCCAGCGUUUUAUGAGAGCUGACGUCAAACCAGGAAGGAGGCACCCAUAGCAUCUGCAAAUGCAGGGGCUCAAGCUGCGGAUCUUGGCGCUCCACCCAGCCUCCACCAAAUAGCCCCAAAGCCAUGUCCACAUACCUCUCAGGGCUUCACCUGUGCCAAAUAGAAGUUCCC